Non-coding RNA from Salvelinus sp. IW2-2015, 253 nucleotides. Lineage: Eukaryota; Metazoa; Chordata; Actinopteri; Salmoniformes; Salmonidae. The record is from RefSeq and is a predicted model, not a curated record.
AGGGSAGGGGAACCUCAACCCAGCACGUUAUCAUGAUAGAGUCUGCAGAUGCWGAGGCUACAGGUCCUGGGGUCAAGCAGGAGAUGACUGAAGAGGAGGACCCACAGCACAGCGGAGACGUCCAGACUGGUGCGGCAGGAGAGCCCCCUGCAGCCACGGAGGACCCCACAACCGCCCCAGUGCAGCCCAGGACCCAACGCAGUAUCAUGGAGGAGGAGGAGGGUCCAGAGGGGCUGCUGGUGAAGGAGGAGGG